Molecule: ribosomal RNA, 460 nt
Filed under: uncultured bacterium
Lineage: Bacteria
Description: partial 16S ribosomal RNA
Rfam family: Bacterial small subunit ribosomal RNA
Source: RNAcentral
CCUACGGGAGGCAGCAGUGAGGAAUAUUGGUCAAUGGGCGAGAGCCUGAACCAGCCAAGCCGCGUGAAGGAUGAAGGAUCUAUGGUUUGUAAACUUCUUUUAUAUGGGAAUACAUUUAGGAACGUGUUCCUUUUUGUAUUUACCAUAUGAAUAAGCAUCGGCUAACUCCGUGCCAGCAGCCCCGGUACUACGGAGGAUGCGAGCGUUAUCCGGAAUUAUUGGGUUUAAAGGGUGCGUAGGUGGUUAAUUAAGUCAGGUGUGAAAGUUUGUGGCUCAACCAUAAAAUUGCCGUUGAAACUGGUUGACUUGAGUAUAUUAGAGGUAGGCGGAAUGCGAGGUGUAGCGGUGAAAUGCAUAGAUAUCACGAAGAACUCCGAUUGCGAAGGCAGCUUACUAAACUAUAACUGACACUGAAGCACGAAAGCGUGGGGAUCAAACAGGAUUAGAUACCCCUGUAGUC